Non-coding RNA from Danionella cerebrum, 74 nucleotides. The record is from the annotation of a GenBank genome assembly. Lineage: Eukaryota; Metazoa; Chordata; Actinopteri; Cypriniformes; Danionidae.
GGUUCUGUGGCUUAGUCGGUUAAAGUUUCUGUCUUGUAAAAAGGAGUUCCUGGAUUCAAAUCCCAGCGGUGCUU